GGGCAGGUUACACGGCAGUUCACCGGAGCGCCGGACACGGAUAUUUCCGGUAGGAAGCGUGCGGAGGCUUAGUGGCGGACGGGUGAGUAACGCGUGGAUAACCUGCCGCAUACCGGGGGAUAACAGCUGGAAACAGCUGCUAAUACCGCAUAUGCCCGCAGUGCCGCAUGGCACAGCGGGGAAAACUCCGGUGGUAUGCGAUGGGUCCGCGUCUGAUUAGGCAGUUGGCGGGGUAACGGCCCACCAAACCGACGAUCAGUAGCCGGCCUGAGAGGGCGGACGGCCACACUGGGGCUGAGACACGGCCCAGACUCCUGCGGGAGGCAGCAGUGGGGAAUAUUGCACAAUGGGGGAAACCCUGAUGCAGCGACGCCGCGUGAAGGAAGAAGUAUCUCGGUAUGUAAACUUCUAUCAGCAGGGAAGAAAACAGACGGUACCUGACUAAGAAGCCCCGGCUAACUACGUGCCAGCAGCCGCGGUAAUACGUAGGGGGCAAGCGUUAUCCGGAUUUACUGGGUGUAAAGGGGGCGCAGACGGCCAUGGCAAGCCCGGUGUGAAAGGCAGGGGCAUAACCCCUGGACUGCACUGGGAACUGUCAGGCUGGAGUGCCGGAGGGGUAAGCGGAAUUCCUGGUGUAGCGGUGAAAUGCGUANAUAUCAGGAGGAACACCGGCGGCGAAGGCGGCUUACUGGACGGCAACUGACGUUGAGGCCCGAAAGCGUGGGGAGCGAACAGGAUUAAAUACCCUGG
RNAcentral lists this ribosomal RNA (750 nucleotides) under uncultured bacterium. Its description in RNAcentral is "bacterial SSU rRNA". It matches the Rfam family "Bacterial small subunit ribosomal RNA", at positions 55 to 790 of the family's 1533-position model. The record is from RNAcentral.